GACGAACGCUGGCGGCGUGCUUAACACAUGCAAGUCGAACGGAAAGGCCCUGCUUUUGUGGGGUGCUCGAGUGGCGAACGGGUGAGUAACACGUGAGUAACCUGCCCUUGACUUUGGGAUAACUUCAGGAAACUGGGGCUAAUACCGGAUAGGAGCUCCUGCUGCAUGGUGGGGGUUGGAAAGUUUCGGCGGUUGGGGAUGGACUCGCGGCUUAUCAGCUUGUUGGUGGGGUAGUGGCGUACCAAGGCUUUGACGGGUAGCCGGCCUGAGAGGGUGACCGGCCACAUUGGGCCUGAGAUACGGCCCAGACUCCUACGGGCGGCAGCAGUGGGGAAUAUUGCACAAUGGGCGGAAGCCUGAUGCAGCAACGCCGCGUGCGGGAUGACGGCCUUCGGGUUGUAAACCGCUUUCGCCUGUGACGAAGCGUGAGUGACGGUAAUGGGUAAAGAAGCACCGGCUAAUUACGU
This 467-nucleotide ribosomal RNA is filed under the name uncultured bacterium. RNAcentral's name for it is "partial 16S ribosomal RNA". It matches the Rfam family "Bacterial small subunit ribosomal RNA", at positions 28 to 506 of the family's 1533-position model. The record is from RNAcentral.